CAUCAUUUGGCAUAAGCAAUACAACUGUUCAACGGGGCCAAGACUCAGGAGGAAUCAUCAUUUGGCAUAAGCAAUACAACUGUUCAACGGGGCCAAGACUCAGGUGGAAUCAUCAUUUGGCAUAAGCAAUACAACUGUUCAACGGGGCCAAGACUCAGGAGGAAUCAUCAUUUGGCAUAAGCAAUACAACUGUUCAACGGGGCCAAGACUCAGGUGGAAUCAUCAUUUGGCAUAAGCAAUACAACUGUUCAACGGGGCCAAGACUCAGGUGGAAUCAUCAUUUGCCAUAAGCAAUACAACUGUUCAACGGGCCCAAGACUCAGGUGGAAUCAUCAUUUGGCAUAAGCAAUACAACUGUUCAACGGGGC
Long non-coding RNA from Oncorhynchus tshawytscha (Chinook salmon), 368 nucleotides. The record is from Ensembl. Lineage: Eukaryota; Metazoa; Chordata; Actinopteri; Salmoniformes; Salmonidae.